RNAcentral lists this long non-coding RNA (2760 nucleotides) under Malus domestica (apple). Its description in RNAcentral is "long non-coding RNA (MDOM_LNC017268)". Lineage: Eukaryota; Viridiplantae; Streptophyta; Magnoliopsida; Rosales; Rosaceae. The record is from RNAcentral.
CAAGAAGCAAAGCCUGAUAUUCCGUAAUCAACGUGCAUAUAUAAGCUAGAAAGGAUAAAACAUGCAUGAAUUUCACCUUCUUCCUUAAGGUACCAACAAACCCAUCCCAAUCCUCCCUUGCCUUCUUCAACUUUUUCAUCACUUAAAGGCUUAAAAUAUACCCAAAAAGUGAUACCUAGGAUUGGAUUUGUUGGAACUUCAUAUUCUGUCGGAUGAUAAGUAGUUUUCGUAUCAUAGAUUUAGAAAUUUUAGCAAAACCACCAAAAGGUCUAAAGACUGAGGAGAGGUAACUUAUUAGUUGGCUACGUGGGCAACUAUAAAGAAAGACAUCAAGAGAUUCGUAUCUUCUUAGAGUUUUUCUUUGUUUUUUCGGUGCUGGUUAACAACUCGAGGAUAAACGUCAAUAAAGAAAAACUACAGUAAGACAUCAAGAGGCAGCUGGAAGGUGUCGCCGACAAGGGUCAGAAGCUUCGUCAAAAUAUAUAUUCGAUCCAGAGCUAGAAUAAUGUGACAAGACUUCACAAAUCCCAUUCUUGUUUAAAGACUAAUCAAGGGCAAACCUGCACCGGUUGUAUCUGUAAACUUAUAAAUUGGGUAAAUGUAAAAGACUCAAUCCUUGAGCGAAGAACUUGAAUUCUAUCAUUUUCACAAUCGAUUAUUACAGAAUACGUAAAUUACACAUCUCGAUAACUAGACGUCAAAUGUCAUCUACAAUCUCUAUCUUGAAUGAUCUGUAGACGAGUCGUCAACGUGGAGAAAAUUAGGUUUCUCUCUCUAGCCUUGCUUGCACGUUAAAACUCUAAUACAUGUUUUUUCAUUAGUGUCCACAUUAGGCAGGUAUGUGCGCUAUUUUAGGCAGAGAAAGACUCGUUUCCUAAUGAAGUCCAUAACUAAUUACUACCCAUCACAAUUAGGGGUGGACACUUGGAACCGAAAACCGAAACUGAAACACGAACCAAAUCGAACCAUACCAAACGGUUUUGAUUUUGCGAUUUUGAAACGGUUUCGGUUUGAAACCGAACCGCAAUGUAGAGAAACAGUUUGGUUUUGGUUUUGACUUUUGAAAACCGCGCCACAAGUAUUAAAAAAAACAUGAUUGAAGUGUAUCAAUUUGUUUAAUUGUUAUUUUGUGUAUUUGAUUCGGUUAGGCCUUUUCUAAAACUUGUAGACUUUGUCUGAUAUGUUUAGGGUGUGUAAUCAAGGGCAAAGGAAUGCAAUUCGUGUCGGUUAAAUUAGGGUGUGCAUGCUUUAUUUUGUAUUUGUAUAAUAUUUUGUGUGUGUGACUUAUAUAGAGUUAUAACUUAUACCUUCUACAACUAUGGCAAAAACCCUUUGGGAUAGCAGCCUUCAGGGUGUUGGGGUCAAGUUUUUUGUUUAUGUUGCAUCUGUUGGUCUGUAUUGUCUGGCAUGUUUCGUAAUUUCACCAAUCCAGUUUCUCUAAUUUUAAUUCUUCCAUGUCAUACUAUCUUUAGAAAAUACAGUACUAUUAUUGUUGCAGAUUAGCUACAGGCAUUUACUGCCCUUGAGUGAUAUUAUCAUAAUGAGAAGGCAUUUGCUGCCUUACUGGGGUGCAAAGUCCUUUGAAGGCUUGAAUAUGCACAUUGACUUUGCAUUAGGAAAUGUUUGAAAAUGGUUUGAAAUAAGGUUUUAGAUUGUAUAUUUUUUUUCUUAAAAAUACUAAUGUUGUUCAGGGGGGAGAGAGGAAGGUAAAGAGAUUUUUUUUUUUUUUCAUUUUGUAUCUAUAUGGUUUGAAACCGAACUGAAACUGUUUGAAACCGCACCGAACUGAACUAAAUGGUUUGGUUUCAUUUCGGUUUUGGCUUCAAAACCGCACCGAACCAAACCGCAAAAAAUCGGUUUUGGUUUCGGUUUCACUCAAAACCGCAUCGAACUGAACCGUGCUCACCUCUAAUCACAAUAUUAAAAUAAGAAACCAAUUCUUAUAAUUUGACCAAUAUGAUUGCUUCCAAAACAAUACACAUUUUUCUAAUUAACGACCGAGGUUCCAUUCAACAUAUGAAGCCUUAGAAUUCGUUGUAUUACUAGCUUUCUUGUUUUUCAAUCAAGAAAAUAACGGAAAACCUGCAAGUUAUGUAUCUUAGGUAGUUGACGAACAACAUAUACAUCAAAAUAUUUGAAGGAUAAUGCUUGUGUCCUUAGUGGGGACUUAUUUAUCUCCUACUCAUAAUUGACGAGCCUUUAUCAUUUAAACAUGUUAGUACCAUAUUAUAUUGGGCCUCAUUACUUUGGCUUCCAGACAUUGAGCCCAUGAUUUAUGUAAAAGGGGAGGAGCCCUUAGUCUAUAAAAGGGCCUCAUCACCCUCACAAUUGAGGGGGGCUCAUCCUCACAUACAGAAGCCACAAGCCUUACAUCCAGAGAGAAACUCUCUCAAACUAUCUCUUUCUCUGAGGGACUCCCCCUCACACUUGUAAUCCAUACAUACAAUCACAGAGAAAUACAAUCAACAUCAGUGUGGACGUAGCCCAAACAUUGGGGUGAACCACGAUACAUCUUGUGUUCUUUACUUUCUUGCAGAUUCACGGUCGGAUUUACGUUGUUCCAAGAACUUCGAUUUUGUGCAUCAACAUUUGGCGCCGUCUGUGGGAAUCGACACAAAAAGCUAUGUCGGUUCUCUUUCAUUUUUUCAUCUCACCACCGUGAGAUCUCACCACACUCCACCGUGAAUCUACAGAAAUCGAAGAACCAAACACCUGCACAGUCACUGCAAAACAUAUGUCUCUCGCUCCAGCUCCCGGUCA